Molecule: ribosomal RNA, 253 nt
Filed under: uncultured bacterium
Lineage: Bacteria
Description: partial 16S ribosomal RNA
Rfam family: Bacterial small subunit ribosomal RNA
Source: RNAcentral
UACGAGGGGGGCGAGCGUUGUUCGGAAUUAUUGGGCGUAAAGCGUGCGCAGGCGGUUUGCUAAGACAGGUGUGAAAUCCCCGGGCUUAACCUGGGAACUGCGCUUGUAACUGGCAAGCUAGAGUGUGGCAGAGGGGGGUGGAAUUCCACGUGUAGCAGUGAAAUGCGUAGAGAUGUGGAGGAACACCGAUGGCGAAGGCAGCCCCCUGGGCUAACACUGACGCUCAUGCACGAAAGCGUGGGGAGCAAACAGG